This 331-nucleotide ribosomal RNA is filed under the name uncultured eukaryote. Its description in RNAcentral is "partial 18S ribosomal RNA". It matches the Rfam family "Eukaryotic small subunit ribosomal RNA", at positions 1470 to 1796 of the family's 1831-position model. The record is from RNAcentral.
CCCUUAGAUGUUCUGGGCCGCACGCGCGCUACACUGACGAAGUCAGCGAGCAUGUCCUACGCCGACAGGUGCGGGGAAUCUUGUCAAACUUCGUCGUGAUGGGGAUUGAUUAUUGAAAUUCUUGAUCAUCAACGAGGAAUUCCUAGUAAGCGCAAGUCAGCAGCUUGCGUUGAUUACGUCCCUGCCCUUUGUACACACCGCCCGUCGCUACUACCGAUUGAAUGGUUUAGUGAGAUCUUCGGAUUGGCGCCACUGCGGCACAGCAAUGGGCUCGGUGGAUGCCGAAAAGUUGAUCAAACUUGAUCAUUUAGAGGAAGUAAAAGUCGUAACA